GUGAAUGAAGCGCCGCGGAGCAGCCCUGCCGGGGUCCCCGCGAGCCGCGUCCCGCUGUGCCCAGGCGCCUCCGCAGCGGCGUCCGCGUCCGCGUCAGCGGGGGGCGCGCACGGUUACCCCGGGCAGCCCCGGCCGCCAGCGGCAGCCCCGUCGCCUCGGCCGCGCUAGCGGGCUGAGGGCACCUGGGGGCGGGCUGGGGGCGCCGGCCGCGGCAGGAGGCGCUGUAGCGAGGGCUGCGGCGCGGGUUCCGCGGCGGCGGCGGCGGCGGGAGGGAGCGGGGCAGGCGCCGUGGGCCGGGCCCCUCCUCCGGCUCCUGCGCGGCCGGCGCCCGCCGUCCCCGCAGCGCCGCUCUGCGCCCGCCGCCCCGAGCGCCCGAGCGGGGCUGACGAGAGCCUCGGCGGGCGCGCGGGCGGGCGCGCGGGGCCAUGGUCGUGGCCCCCUGACGGGCCGCGGCCGCCUCCAUGAAGCGGAAGAGCGAGCGGCGGUCGACCUGGGCCGCCGCGCCCCCCUGCUCGCGGCGGGGCUCGUCGACCUCGCCGGGCGUGAAGAAGAGCCGCAGUUCCGCGCCUCAGGACCCGCGCCGCCUGGACCCCGAGGACGACGUGUACCUGGACAUCACCGAUCGCCUUUGUUUUGCCAUUCUCUACAGCAGACCAAAGAGUGCAUCAAAUGUACAUUAUUUCAGCAUAGAUAAUGAACUUGAAUAUGAGAACUUCUACGCAGAUUUUGGACCACUCAAUCUGGCAAUGGUUUACAGAUAUUGUUGCAAGAUAAAUAAGAAAUUGAAGUCCAUUACAAUGUUAAGGAAGAAAAUUGUUCAUUUUACCAGCUCUGAUCAGAGAAAGCAAGCAAAUGCUGCCUUCCUUGUUGGAUGCUACAUGGUUAUAUAUUUGGGAAGAACUCCAGAAGAAGCAUAUAGAAUAUUAAUCUUUGGAGAUACAUCCUAUAUUCCUUUCAGAGAUGCUGCCUAUGGAAGCUGCAAUUUCUACAUUACGCUUCUUGACUGUUUUCAUGCAGUAAAGAAGGCAAUGCAGUAUGGCUUCCUUAAUUUCAACUCAUUUAACCUUGAUGAAUAUGAACACUAUGAAAAAGCAGAAAAUGGAGAUUUAAAUUGGAUAAUACCAGACCGAUUUAUUGCCUUCUGUGGACCUCAUUCAAGAUCCAGACUUGAAAGUGGUUACCACCAACAUUCUCCCGAUACUUAUAUUCAAUAUUUUAAGAAUCACAAUGUUACUACCAUUAUUCGUCUGAAUAAAAGGAUGUAUGAUGCCAAACGCUUUACGGAUGCUGGCUUUGAUCACCAUGAUCUUUUCUUUGCGGAUGGCAGUACCCCUACUGAUGCCAUUGUUAAAGAAUUUCUGGAUAUCUGUGAAAAUGCUGAGGGUGCCAUUGCAGUACAUUGUAAAGCUGGCCUUGGUCGCACGGGCACUCUGAUAGCCUGCUACAUCAUGAAGCAUUACAGGAUGACAGCAGCCGAGACCAUUGCGUGGGUCAGGAUCUGCAGGCCUGGCUCAGUGAUUGGGCCUCAGCAGCAGUUUUUGGUGAUGAAGCAAACAAGCCUCUGGCUGGAAGGGGACUAUUUUCGUCAGAAGUUAAAGGGGCAGGAGAAUGGACAGCACAGAGCAGCCUUCUCCAAACUUCUCUCUGGUGUUGAUGACAUUUCCAUAAAUGGGGUCAAGAAUCAAGACCAGCAAGGGCCUGAACCGUACAGCGAUGACGACGAAAUCAAUGGAAUGACACAAGGUGAUAGACUUCGGGCCCUGAAAAGCAGAAGACAAUCAAAAACAAACGCUAUUCCUCUCACAUGCCCCCUAGCUGUGCUGACCUCUGCACUGUGUAGUGUUGUCAUCUGGUGGAUUGUUUGUGACUACAUUCUUCCCACCCUGCUAUUCUGUCUCGAUGGUUUCAGAGCACAGUAGCCAUCAGGACCCCUUGACAGAUAGCUGCUAGUAAUUCUUCAGUCCAGUGUUCAGAGCUGUAAAACAUCUGAACCUAACAUUUCUGGCAGUGCAGGCAUUCCUAAACGAACCACCAGAUCUGCUUCAAGGAAAAGCAGUGUUAAAAGUCUCUCCAUUUCAAGGACUAAAACAGUCUUGCGUUAAGUAAAAACUUAUGACCAGAGGUGAAGGAAGACUCUAGGAACUGAAAACUGCGACAGAAAUUAGCACAAUUUGAAAACAAAACAAAAUUGCAAAAGCCUUAGUUGCUUUCCACCUAAGAAGUUGGCUCAAUGGAGAAAAUGUCCGCUGGAGUUUCAAUAAUGAAUUUGGAGUGUGGGUGCAAGCGAAUGACUCAAAGAAGGGCCCAGCUCUGAAGCUUGACGACAGAAAUGCUGUUGUAAAUCUAGUCUCAGGCGUACAGACCCAAGCCCCCUGGUACCAGAGAGCCGGCCGGUCUGUGGUGCAUGUGUGUCCUUGUGAUGGCAAUCAUUGUAGUCGCUGGCCUUCAGAAGAACUGAGGAUCUGAUGGAGGUUUUUUUAUGUAUUUAUUUUCUGUUCACCUUGUGACCCUGUGUCAAAAUUUAUAAAGUACAAAAGGCAUUACCGAAAUGGUACUUCCUGUAAUUUGAUACUAUCUGGCUUAAUCGUCUUCACUUGACUCUUUGUAAUACUGUUGUAAUGUUAACUCUGUUAAGUACCCAAGCUGCUUGUCUUCCACCAAAGAGUGCUUUAUUAACAGGAAUCUGUGAAAACUACAUUUAAACACUGUUGCAUGUUGUAAUACCAGGUGGUACCUUGGUAACCUAAAACUUGCAAGAGAAUAUUAAUGGUAAAAGAAGACUCAGGAGGAGAAGCUGACUUCAGAGUUGGAAGAUGUUCCAGUCAUUUCUUUCUCUGUCCUUAAGGGACAGAAGAACUGCGAGGUUGCCCAUUGUUUGGUUGCCAGUCAUACAAAUUAGAAUCAUAUUUCCUUCCAUGCCUGGAAAAAACACACUGUUGGUUUUUCCCCUUGGAAACCGCAAUUCCAAAUAAUGUUGGCUUAAAAGAAAAAAAGUUAACACUUUUUUAGAGUCCUUCUCUGUAACAUUGGGAUUUUCUUCCUCCUGAGAUCAGCCGAAGGCCAUUGAUGUGGCCUGCGAUCUCAGUGGCAGCGAUCUGCUUCUGGACCUCACUGUUGCCUUUGGUUAGGGAACACAACUAGUAACUCUGCAGAGUGCCUUGUCCCACAGCCGUACUGAAACACAGCAGAGUCUGUGCCAUGAAGCAAUUAUAGAAACAGAGUUGAUUUGCUGCUUAAAAAAAAAAAUGGGGCCCCAAAUAAAAGACUAUUUAGUACCCACCUCAGUUCCUUCCAUAAGAAGUGGGUGGUUUAAUGAUUGUUAACCCAUGUUUGCCUGUGCUGGGAGCAUGGAGGGCCAAGAGGUUGACAGGCAGUGGGAACCAAAUGCCCUCCUAAGCCACAAGGCGUGCCCCAGAUCAGCAGGCAAUUGCCAUUUUAAGAAGCUGCCCUUUUCACAAAACUGCAAGGAAUAAAAGCAGUUGGAAUAAACAGGUUAAUGUAUUUAAUGCAAAAAGUAAUUGAAAGGCAGUGCCUCCAUUUUGGUGUGCUUUAUCGGGAAGAAAGUAUGAAAUUGACCGGCGUCAGGGGAGAUGGAAGAUGCCGUUGUCUCAGCCAAACGGGCGACUCUUUCCCCACCAGGCACUACGGGGUGGGGUCAGGCCAGCCUUUAAACACUGGGGACUGGAUCACAGAGAAACAGUGGUGUUCUGUCCCUGGAAAUGAAUAGGCACAAAGACCCACUUGCCUGUGGGAAGACCACUCUUCAAUAAGAUUUGGGUGGCAGAAGGAACAUUCCUUUUGCUGUUUUGAGCUGAGACAAUAUAAAUAUUCAAACCGUGCCAUGCACAAAGCAUUGAAUUCUCAGGGCACCUCUUCUUCCCCUUACCCUUUUUAAGGCCAUCCCCCCCAUAAAUAAUAAUCCAGGUAGUUGUAAAAAUUGCGCUUCUUUCUGAACCCUUCUUAGUUUGGCUUUUCAUCCCAUCAGAACAAGUAAACAUGCAGCCGCCACGGCUCUUGUGAGUACUGUCUUCCUCCCGGUGAACAAGCCUCCUGGUGUUUCGUCCAAGAAAAGGAAGGGCGUCAGCGGAACUACAGUCCUUUUUCAUUUUAUAAACUGCCUCUUCAUGUCGCCUGCUCAAGUUUCCAGCUACAAUUGCUAUCACUGUGGCUCUUUGUAAAAACCCUUCUAUUUAACUGCCUCACUGAAAUUAGUCAUAGGAAGCUUGUGAUUUGGUGAGGAAGCAUUCCUUAUAAUAACCAAAUGACUUGGGAUGGUUUGCAUAGCAACAGUGUUAUACUUAUGGGGACCACAUCUCUGGAAUCCAGGAAGUCUCUGGCUUUGAGGGAUGGAAAGUUCUUCCUGCUAUGAAUGAGAAUGGACUCUUCCCUUACCCUCAACUGAAACCACAAACACCCAGAAUCUUCUGGGAUUCUGACUUACAGUCCUUGUUAUAGAAGACGUUGUUGCUGUGGAAUAUGAAACUGUGUGUGUCAGAUGGAGAGAUUCCCUUAAGAGCCUUAAAUAGCCCUGAAAGUACACCAGGACAGUUUGCAAAUGGAAUUAUAAUUAGAAGUGAAUAUUUUUAAGUGCCCUUGAAGCUUUCUGGGGACUCAAAAUUAUCAAGAGUCAGGCACAGUCCGGAGGAAGAGCGUCUGCAAAACUGGGUUCCUAGAAGUACGGAUGGAUGUCGCUUUUUGUAGAACUUGGCAGGGAGCAGCACCUUGUGAGAGCAGGUGGCCUGACGUGGCCAAUGCUUCCUGGCAGCACGAGGCUCUGCCAGCCUCCAGAAUUCCCCUGUUCUGAGCUUGAUGCCCUUGGCCUGUCCUUUACCCACUUCCUCCCCUCCCCCUAGCCCUCUCACAAGGGUGAUUGCUACCUCUCUCUUUUCUUGGGCCGAGCAAAUUUUAGAGGAGUUCCCAAGCUUUGUCAUGAGGCCAGUGUGCGGAUGGCCUGGGCUUGUGUGUGGCCCGAGGGCUCUUCUGGGGCCUUCCCUCUUCCCAGUCACCUUCGGAGCCACAGGAGCCACGCACUCAUUGGAUGUCUGUUCUUAACAUAGGUCAACUGCUUCUCUUUCUACAUUUUAAAAAAUCGUUGUAUUUUAGAAAGCAGUGCUCAUCAAAAGCAACUUUUAAAACCUAUUUUAUCAUUCCUUUAAUAGUUAUCUCCCGCUGAAACUGCCCUGGGGAGGCUAGCUGCUGCUCUUCCAUUCUCCACAUCAGGGUAUUCUCCACAUCACUGAGUGGAGAUGCGUCCAGAUGUGUUUAAAGACUGGACAAUUCACCUAUACUGUGUAGGAAAUUACCUCCUUAAUUACCUGGUAGAAUUGUUAGCAGACAUGUUCAUCUGAUGGUAGUACUGCAGUUUUCUAUUAAUAAUUUGCAGACUUUUAUCUAACCUGCACUCAUGUACAGAUUAUUAAAAGUUUUGAAAUGUAACUGAUCAGUAUUGAUCAGUCAUUGUCUUGAUUUUUUUUUUUUUUUUACAGUGUAUAUUUCUAAUCAUGUUUUUUAAAGCCAAGAGAACUGGUUGAAUGAAUGUUUAUUUUCCUGAAGGUAUUUUUAAGAUAAAGCUUCCUAAUGGCCUGUAAACUUUGCAUAUAUAGGUAGUUUGAUACAUACUGUCACAUUUGAAAAUCUUGUGAGUUGUAACUGGUUUUAUACAAAAUAUCAAACAAUGGAAAUUGUAUAAUUAUAAUCAUGUAAUUAAAAGUAUUAACCAAA
RNA transcript from Cebus imitator (Panamanian white-faced capuchin), 5721 nucleotides. It is a transcript of the gene named cell division cycle 14B, with no coding region annotated. The record is from RefSeq and is a predicted model, not a curated record. Lineage: Eukaryota; Metazoa; Chordata; Mammalia; Primates; Cebidae. The transcript has 15 exons.